Molecule: ribosomal RNA, 354 nt
Filed under: uncultured bacterium
Lineage: Bacteria
Description: bacterial SSU rRNA
Rfam family: Bacterial small subunit ribosomal RNA
Source: RNAcentral
AGAGUUUGAUCCUGGCUCAGGAUGAACGCUAGCUACAGGCUUAACACAUGCAAGUCGAGGGGAAACGAUAUUGGAAGCUUGCUUCCGAUAGGCGUCGACCGGCGCACGGGUGAGUAACGCGUAUCCAACCUGCCCACCACUUGGGGAUAACCUUGCGAAAGUAAGACUAAUACCCAAUGACGUCUCUAGAAGACAUCUGAAAGAGAUUAAAGAUUUAUACGGUGAUGGAUGGGGAUGCGUCUGAUUAGCUUGUUGGCGGGGUUAACGGCCACCAAGGCUACGAUCAGUAGGGGUUCUGAGAGGAAGGUCCCCCACAUUCGGAACUGAGACACGGUCCAAACUCCUACGGGAGCA